RNAcentral lists this ribosomal RNA (489 nucleotides) under uncultured rumen bacterium. RNAcentral's name for it is "bacterial SSU rRNA". It matches the Rfam family "Bacterial small subunit ribosomal RNA", at positions 72 to 581 of the family's 1533-position model. The record is from RNAcentral.
UCUUGUGCUUGCACAAGAGGAAAGUGGCGGACGGGUGAGUAAUGUGUAGAGAAUCUGCCCUGAAGAGGAGGACAACAGAGGGAAACUUCUGCUAAUACCCCAUAUGCGCGUAGUUGAGAUACUAUUCGUGAAAGAUUUAUCGCUUCAGGAUGAGUCUGCAUCUGAUUAGCUAGUUGGGGGUGUAAUGGACCACCAAGGCGACGAUCAGUAGCUGGUUUGAGAGGAUGAUCAGCCACAAUGGGACUGAGACACGGCCCAUACUCCUACGGGAGGCAGCAGUAGGGAAUUUUGCGCAAUGGGCGAAAGCCUGACGCAGCAACGCCGCGUGAUCGCAGACGGCCUUCGGGUUGUAAAGAUCUGUCAGUAGGGACGAACAAUGACUGUACCUACAGAGGAAGCACCGGCUAACUCCGUGCCAGCAGCCGCGGUAAUACGGGGGGUGCGAGCGUUGUCCGGAAUCAUUGGGCGUAACGAGUUCGUANGUGGUUU